AGUGAACGCUGGCGGUAGGCCUAACACAUGCAAGUCGAACGGCAGCACAGUAAGAGCUUGCUCUUACGGGUGGCGAGUGGCGGACGGGUGAGGAAUACAUCGGAAUCUACUUUUUCGUGGGGGAUAACGUAGGGAAACUUACGCUAAUACCGCAUACGACCUACGGGUGAAAGCAGGGGAUCUUCGCACCUUGCGCGUUUGAAUGAGCCGAUGUCGGAUUAGAUAGUUGGCGGGGUAAAGGCCCACCAAGGCGACGAUCCGUAGCUGGUCUGAGAGGAUGAUCAGCCACACUGGAACUGAGACACGGUCCAGACUCCUACGGGAGGCAGCAGUGGGGAAUAUUGGACAAUGGGCGCAAGCCUGAUCCAGCCAUACCGCGUGGGUGAAGAAGGCCUUCGGGUUGUAAAGCCCUUUUGUUGGGAAAGAAAAGCAGCAGGUUAAUACCCCGCUGUUCUGACGGUACCCAAAGAAUAAGCACCGGCUAACUUCGUG
This 492-nucleotide ribosomal RNA is filed under the name uncultured bacterium. RNAcentral's name for it is "partial 16S ribosomal RNA". It matches the Rfam family "Bacterial small subunit ribosomal RNA", at positions 29 to 507 of the family's 1533-position model. The record is from RNAcentral.